AGCAGCCUCUUUAUUUAUUUUGCUUUAAAAAAAAUUUAUGGAAAGGGCAAGGAAAACAGCAAAUACAGCUCACUUCCCGACCCACCACCAAACCAUCAUCAUUUAUUUAUUUGAUCAAAACCCUAGGCCGUUAUUAGUAUUUAACCCUUGGCUACCACCCUCUUCUUUUUAUUAUUGAAGGUAACCCAAGGCCUCGGUAGGUAGGGUUGUUCACUCUUGGGGGUCUCCUUGGUUCACACCAGGAGCGUCUCCGAGGCUUCAAGUUUUGGGUUUUAAGAUCUACUUAGCACUCAGACCAUCUUGUAGGUGAAGUCGGGUUAAAAGCGUUGCUGAGACGGCAGAUGUUUACACAGGAUAAAGCAAGUGAAAGCCAAAACGAGAUGUCAGAAAGUAAAUCUGGUGGUCAUUUUCUUAGAUUCUGCUGCUGCUGCUGCGCUGCUUUCAAAAUUCACAAGAGGGGUUUUCCUAUUGAUUGUAAUUUUUUAAUGUAAUAAUAAAAUAAAAGACAUGCUUUAUUGAACCUUUUCAUUUUCUAUUAAAUCUUGAAUAUAUCAUGUCUUCUUUUUUGUUAUAAAUAA
Gossypium arboreum is the source of this 578-nucleotide long non-coding RNA. RefSeq lists it as uncharacterized. The transcript is spliced from 2 exons. The record is from RefSeq and is a predicted model, not a curated record. Lineage: Eukaryota; Viridiplantae; Streptophyta; Magnoliopsida; Malvales; Malvaceae.